Chelonia mydas (Green sea turtle) is the source of this 17299-nucleotide RNA transcript. It is a transcript of the gene named myosin XVB, with no coding region annotated. NCBI's taxonomy places the organism in Eukaryota, Metazoa, Chordata, Testudines, Cheloniidae. The record is from RefSeq and is a predicted model, not a curated record. The transcript has 69 exons.
ACUGGCCCUGUUGGAGCUGGCUUUACUUCACAGAUUAAUUGGUCUGGUUUUCAGAAUAACUGGCUUGUAUCUGUUGGGGCUCGAACACAACUGUGUGAUUGGGUCACACUCCUAAAUUCAGCCUUGUAGAGCAUGUCAUCUCCCACAGGGUCUGAGCUGGGACCUGGUAGAGUCAGGUGGGGGUUUCCCAUUGGCUUUAAUGAGAGCAGGAUUAAGCCCUGGGUAAUGAGAAGUAUCAGUAUGGCUAACAAGUUAGGCCAAGGUUACCAUAUCAGGGCUGGUGGGUAUUGAUAGGAAGCUUUUGCCAUCUCACAAACCCACUCUAUAACAUUAUUUGUCCUUUGUGAUGGUGCUUUUCACCCUUGGAUCCCCAAGCACUUUUCUUAGGAUUCUCUCUGAGACCUUUCCACUUGGCUUAUUCAGAACACAUCAUCCAGUUCUCUGGGAUCCAAAAAAACUCAAUUCGACGCCAGCUGGUCACCCAGGUUACUUUAUUAGGCAUGUAACAAACAGCUCUUUGUCCACACUGGCUAGGCGCAGACACAGGGGGUUGAGGUACAGGGUGAUACCACAAUUCCAAUUCCUGUCACACAACACACAGUUAAUAUACAUCUUUCCUAGCUACUAACAUCUCUGCUUCUUGCGUGCAAAGACCAAACGCUUUGCAGAUUGCAUAAGGACCAAUCGCUUUUGUCUGAUAAACCUCAUAGACGCUACAGAGGUACGUCAGGAUUAUUCUUCCCUUGUUACAGGUUGGGUAGCUGCAGCACAGAGAAAUUAAUGCACCUGCACCAAGGACACGCAGCAAGUCAGUGGCAGAACAAGGACUAUAAAGGAGGAAUUGUCCAUAUGCUAUUAGCCUCGUGUCUAAUAUCAAUACAGGUGUUUCCGCUCUAAUACAUCUCAGCCUCCAUUUCCAACCUUCUUUCUUGGAGGAAUGCUUAUACUGAGCCAUGGAGGUAGACAGAAACUGGUGGCAGUCUGCAGCCUGCACCUCGCAGGUGAGCUCCGAAUGCCUGCACCAUUACAGUGCCAUUGGCCUGAACUGCCAAGGGCCACUCGGUUAAUUUUGUCAAUGCUGUUAGAAUGACAUCUGCCAGGUCUCCUGCAAACCUCCCUGGCUGGGCCUCAUCGCUUGAAAAACAGGCAGUCAGUGGUCACGUCUCUCUCCUAUAUGGCUCUGCCAACCCAACUCACUCCUGACCAGCCUCACCCCCUAUUAUCCCAGUCCUCGGUCCCUCACAUCUCUCCCUAGGGAGUUCACUCCUGUGCUGACCUGCACCCUCUACCAGGAUCCCUACACUAGUCUGCCAAUGCACUUUAGUCUUGACUUGUCCCACCCCUGCGAUAACCACACUACUCUGCUUGUGUACCUUGGUCCUGGCCUGGCUCUUCUACUGUGUUACUGACCCCUCCCAAUUCUGUGUAUGCAUCUCAGUCCAGAUCUGCAUCAGUUCCUCAUUAUUCCACCCCUGGGUGUCUCUCCAGCACCAGCUGAUGUUGUGUCAUAUUGGGUGUUGGUUCAGUGAUGUGUUCAGAAUGGAGCGGGCUACAACCCACACUGGUACUUGGGAAGAAAAAACUUGGUGCUUUAAUCCACAGGGUGUCACAAGCCCUUAGUGUCUGGGUUGUUUCUACUCAGAACAUCAGCACCCUCUUCAGAUACUGUGGUGAUUUGGGAGGGGCCUGUAAAGCCCCAGAUGGCUUAGAUCUCUUCUUUAAAAGAGGAUCUGAAUGCCCAGCUAUCCCUUUAAGAAAAAGUUGGUGUGUUAACAAAACAAUCACAUUCAUCCCCAUCAUCCACCCUUGAUUAACUGAAGCAGGGUAGGUAUAAAUCGUCAAUUCACAAACUGAACUUUUAAGGCUCAGGGGUGUAUGAGUAGAGCUCUCUGGGUUUAAAAGGAAAUGAUUUGUGUGUGUGUGUCUCAGUGUCCUUGCCUUGAGGUAUUGGCUGAAUACAAAUGGCAGUCUCCUGCUGUUUUCAGUUUUUUCUCUGAUUUUGAUUAUAAGUUCACCAGCAGCAGUAAGUGGUUUAUAACAUGGUCUGGUGUUUAUGGGCUGGUAUAAGUGGUCAGAGGUUUUAUCUUCCUCCCCCCCUCCACCCCAUUAAAUUAAUCUGUAGGGGUGAUGUGGGGAGGAACUGGGCAGGAGAAGCAAAGCCAAGGAAUCUAGAACAAACUAGCUGCUCCUCAAAGAUUCUUCCUUUUGAAAAUGGGUGUGGAAUCGCUUUGCUCUGUGUGUGUAUAAAUGUGUGUUCUAGCAGACACUGGAGUUCUGAUUUGCCAGAACCUUUUGUGAUAGUGGUGUGUCUAUUUCCCCCUUUCUCCCCCCUCAACAAACAAACAGUGAUUUAGCCCCAAAUAUCUGACUUAGACAUACUGGGAAAGUGGUGCUUUGGGUGUAACAGGGCUAUUCCCAGGUGUCCUGACUAGGAUUAGGGCACCUGUUGUGCUAGGUGCUGCACAAACACGGGGAAAGACAGAUUUUGCCCUGAGGCACUUCCAGUCUAAGAAAACAGCCCUGUUUCUGCUCUAAGGACUAUCUGCAAAGUCCAAACAUCUCAGAGGUGCUAGGUGUAGGAAUUUGUCCUGUGUACAGAACAUUUGAAUGCUCAUCCUGAAAUAUCACUUCUGUCUAACCUAAUCUUUAAUGUGACUCUUAGGAGUUAGAGUCUGCGGGGGAGGUGGUGCAGCUGCCUAAUUCCUAAUCAGCUUCUUCUACGACAAGUAAGGUGACUGCAUCUGAGAAGACAUGGCCCUUGGGAGGGCAGGUGCUGGGUGCAGCAUUCUAGCUGGUUAUUAAGUCUGGGAGGAGGUGCUGAGAAGUGGGGAGAAUGGAACUCCUUCCUUUCCUUACUCCAGUUUUGCAGGGAUUAAUCUCUUCAAGGAAAUAUUGUAGCAAAUGAGUUGGGUUUGCUCACCUCCCUGAAUGCUAUAAAGCUUCCAAUCUCAGUUUGCUCUCCUCCAUUGCCUUCUCCGUAGGCUGGUAUGAGGGCCAGGCGCUGCGGGGGCUUCAAGAGGUAGAGGACAGCAGUGGACUGGAAAAUUCUUUGUCUUUAGGUUCAGCUAGCACUCCUACGCUUAUGUAGUACAAAAACCUGCUUUGGGGCCUGUUCACAUAGGGGCACUCAGAAGAAAAUGAAUUAACUAAAGGUUGAUCGUCUGCAUUAGCUACAGUGAACUAAAACCACUCUCAUUCUAAGUGACAGUGUCCACACAGCAGGGGUUUAGGUGCAUUAACUUAACCCCUGUAGUUAAUUCAUUUUAACUUUCCAGAGUGUCCCCACAUGACAAGCCCUAGACUGGUAUACAUUAAUGCCAGAUAUGAAAAGGAGUGAGUUCCUCUGUAAAGAGACAGAGAAAUUGGGCAGUAGGCAAUUGGCUUGGGUUUCUGGGAAUUCUGAUAUGUUUGCCCUUAAUUAGUCUGCUGCCCCUUUCAUACUCUCCCAUUCCCCCUCCUGAUGAGGGCCGGGCAGAUACUCUGAUGCACCCAUAGUACAUGAGAGCAGCUGAGGUUCCUAAGCAAACUGUGAUCCUAGUUCUUCUUGUCCAUUCUCCAUGCAAGGAAAUGACCUAGUUAUAACUUCAGCUUCUCCAUUGCUGAGGCCGGCAAAAUAAACUUGGGUGUUCUGAGGUAUGUUUUCUAGCACUGCAGUGCUAGCUUAAAUCAGCUUCAUCCCUUCCAAUCAGGUUCUAUCAGCAUCUGGGCAGGGCAGUGUUUCAGUAUUUUUUUUUUUUUUUUUUUGGUGUAAACUUUUUUUUAACUUCUGGAUACCAGACCAGCAAAUCCUGCAAACUAUGACUCUGGAUUUCCUCAGUGCAUUCAGAAGCAGAGAACUGUGCAGCCACCAGGGUGGGCAAGACUCUUUCUAUAAAAUGGCAGGUGAACCUCUUCCUCCUCACUGGACAAAAUUAAGCAGCCAAUACAUUCAGAUGUGUGCUAUAUACUGAGGAAAAUAAGUGUCUUAGUGGCUGGACUUUUAGGAGUUCAUAGCAUCCUCAUAGGGUACAGAUGAAGUGCAUUUAUGAUUAAAAGGCGGAUGAAGCUUGGAGAGUGAAACUAUCUCCUUCCACUAAGUAGGGAUCUCUUAUCGAUGAGCUCUGGAGUGGGGGAGGGGAAUGGGCUGGCCAACAGUGGAGGUUCUAGGGCACUGAUCAACUCUCUGGAGGCUAAUGAUACUAAAGCUGAGAGCACUUUUGGUGGGAAAUACCCACAGUGGCCAAUAGCAUAUUCUCUAGCCUUCUUGUCUGUUCUCUAGGUGUGGUUAUUGUCACAGCCGUGGGCCCCAAACACAUCAUGUAGACUUUAAAAAAAAAUUAAAAUUGCUGCAUAAUCCUCUCUCAACCCCAGAAUCUCACUGUGUGUGGCUUCAGCGUCACCAAAUACACCAGGCUUGUUCUAGCCUGGGCCAGGGACUGAAUUUUAAGGUUAAAAAAAUAUCAAACCCUCACCUUUCAAAAAUUGAAGCAUUCCAUUAUGACUUAGUAUCCACCUGCAUAGGAGUCAGGCUGCUUAUAUGGCAGCUGGGCCAUUGCUUUCCUGCAUGCAGCUCUGCUCUCAGAAGGUAGCAAGCUUGGCCUCCUCUGCAGUGAAGAGUCAGGUGCUGGUGGUGUGGCAGCCGCACGGGAGGAGCAGAAUGUCGGAGCUCCUCUUCCCCAGGCAGAGCUCGCCAAGCUCGGUGCAUCCGGCAUGUUAACUGUCAGCGCCAUGGGUUCUAUGGUUCAGUGGAAGAUGCUAUGUGUCUCCCACAUCCUCCAAAAUGACAUGCGGCAUGACCGUGUCAGUCAGUACAGGCAACUGGGAUGCUUCAACAGUGCCCCUGACUCCCAGCACCCCUCUGGAGCCAGAACUGUGCAGGGGAGAUGGGGGUAUGAGGACUCCGCUGGUGCCUUCCCUUCCCUCUCCAGGUGGCCUGCGGGGGAAAUUACAGAGAGGAGCCAGCCACUGCUUCCAGCUGGUAGGCCAAGAGCCGCCAAAGCCAGAUCUGGAAGGUUCCAGCCAGACCUGCAGGAUGUUCUGGGGCCUGUGCUGACGGUCUGUUUGCUCCGACUCUUCCCCUCCAUUUCCCACAGUCUCUUCCCCGCAGCUUCACGCCACACCUCCCCUCCCCCUUCCCGGUGUAACCGAUCCCCCUCCUAAGUAAACCCACCCUAAAGGAAAAAAUAUCACGACACCAACGUCCUGUGCCCUUUGCCGCCACCCCCUCGUUCACUCUGCUGGCGUGCUACCCCCUUCCCCCAGCCUGUGCCUGGUGGGGCUAGGCAGAAAAGGCUUCCUCCUGCUCCCCGGGUGGGCUGUACCCAUCUGUCGGAGACAAGGUGCGUGAGGUCAGACCUUUGACGUUGGUGGGACAAGCCGUACCCGCGUGUCGUCUCCUAUACUCAGAGCGUCAGCUCUCCGGGGCAGGGCGCGUCCUGCUGCUCUGUGUCUGGACAGCACCUGGCACUGCGGAGUCCAGGGGCUACGCUCAGACAAACAAUCCCGGUGAGGAAGAAUUUUUCCCCGCUGGCUUGGUAUUCCAUGCCUGUCCACCUGUUUCCUAUGCCUCCCGCUGCUGCUGCCUGCGGUCAGCGCCAGGCUCCUGGCAUUGGGGGGGACGCAGCCUCCCACGAUGCAGCCCCCCUUCCCGCCUUCCCCCGGGCCUAGCUGCGUCUGGCCACCCAGAGGUAGAGGCACUGAAGGAGGGAAACCCCAGCAGGUGAGCGCUUGUCUCCCUUCAGCACUUGGCCCUCUUCCUGCUCACACCCACAGAGCUGGCUUGAAUGGCUGGGCAGCCCCUGCAGGCUGCCUCCCUCCAUGAGGAGAAAAGGAGGGAAGAUCUUUCCCCAUGGUAAGGGACACGGCGGUAGCAGGAGCCAGAAGGUGGCGCUGUUGCACACGGAUUGACAAGUUAUUUUCUUCACUUGGGAGCUGUGAAGAAUGCUGUGGUAGUUCUGCCAUGUAAUUUCUGGGGUGGGCGGGGGGGGGGGGGGCGUGUUAUUGCAGGCAGCAGAAAAGUUCGCUCUCUGCUUUCAUCUCUUUAACUAGAAUUUAUUUUGGGGGGCGAAGUUCCUUCCUGGGCACUGGCCACUGGUGCUGAGAUUUCAGACAAUGCAAUUUGUGACCGCCUCUGUUCGAGGGCUGCUAAGUACAGUGUAAAUAAAACAAGUUGCACUGAAAUAUACCCAGACUCCACAUCACUGAGUUCUCCUCCAACAGGAAGCUGACCUGCAACCCUCAAAAAUCUACAGCUACAGGGCAGACGGGUGAUGAUAUUGUUUCCUUCACUACUCCGUCGGGAACAGUCCUCGCCGUGGGCUCUUUGAAACAAGACCGCACAAGGUGAACUUCAAUAAACGAUGAUGCCCUUCUGAAUACUGGCAUAAUGGCACCCUCCAGAUCUAAGACUCAGGACAAAGCUGCCAGGGCAAAGAAAGCUGGUAAGGAGAGAGCUGCUGGCUGUGAGAAAAAGAGCCCUCCUGAGGAUUCCAUGGUCCAAGGUGGGAGACUGAGGAAAGAAAAGAGCAAUGCCCAAGCUACAUCUGAAAAACCCUCUUCUGAAAAAGAGACAGUUCCUUUAGUUAUAUCUGUACAGAGCACGUCAAAGAGCCAGAGGGAGGCAAGGAUUAAGGGAGGCAAAGAGUAUGGCCACAAAAAGCAAGCCAAAGGGGAGAGAACCUCCAAGGGCAAGGACAAAAGAGAAUUUGGUUCUGGUGGAAAGCAUGGAGAACAAUUAAUGUCCAAGGAGAAGAAAAAAGUAAGGGGCUCCAAGCAACAGGAUCUGAGAGGCCCAGGAAGCAAGGUCAGUGUUUGCCAUGAGGUAAAGGCCACUGAAGACCGCAAGAAACGUACUUUUAAAAGGAAGCACAGGGAGCACCUGAGUGUGAGUGAAAUGGCCAUUGAGACUGAGUCUGUAAAGUCCUUCACAGUGGGAAGUACUGAGGGCUCCUCUCAAAAACGCGAGUCUCCUCAGACUGAUGGCCGUGUCAGUGCUGGGAAAAAAUACAAUAAGAAGCAUGUCUCCAAAGCAACCACCAUCAGAAAGUCAGGUUCCCAGCUCCACGGCAGUCUGGAGCUCAGAUCUAAGACAGUGAAGUGUGGGGGUGGGGGUGAUGGACAGAAGAAGAAACAAGUUAGAAAAUCAGCCAGGACUAUUUCCAGUGUAAGUGAGGAAGGAAAGAGCCUGGAAAGCUCAGAUGAUGGGUCUUGUUUUGGCUCUAGAGAUGAAGCCAGUUGUAGCCAAGCAAGAAGAAAGAGAGAGACUGGUGAUGACAACACCCAAAUCAGUGAAGACAUAAGAAGCUCUUUGAAAGAACAACUCUCUAUUGAGGAAAAAACUACACAGGAAAAUUGGCUUCUGUCCAAAGGAAAAGGCUGCCGAGAGUCUCAUGAUGGAAACAACAACGCAACCGGGGAAAGUGAAAGAGAACAGGAAAUGAUGGACAACAGGCAAGAAUCUGAAGAUGAAGAAACUGUCUCAGAAGAGUCUGAGGCAGAUGGGAAAAUGAAGGAGCAGGAUAAAGUCUCUAAGCAAAGAAAAUCUACUCUAAGCGAUAGCAGUGAGGAAGAUUAUAGUGCAGGGGCUUCAGAGGAUGAAGUCAAAAGCUCAGCGAAGGGAGAAAAUGAGAGUGAUGAAGAAGAACAGGAAAACCUGUUGGAAAAAGACAACAGAGAAGAAAUGUCUGAAGAUGAGCAAGCUAAAUCUGAAAGCAAGGAGGAUGAAGAGGAUGGUGUUGAAGAAAUAGAUGACGACAAGCGAGAGAGACCAAGAAGGAAACUGCUGCCUAGCACUGUCAAAGCAAAGCUCCUUAACAUGGGCUUGAGCAAAGGCCCUCCGGGAAACAGUUGGGAAGGGAAUAUGAAUGACAGCGGCAGUAUGGUGAGAGAUGGCCCUGUGUGGCCCACACAGCAAAUGCCAAAAAAGAAAUCCCAGAACCCUGAGACAAUAAAGCAAGGUGAAGAGUUAGAACAUGUACAUCAGGAUAGUUCUUCCUCAGACAGCAACAGGAGGGUGGAUUCGGUGGUUGUGCUUGCAAAGAAGUGCAGUCCUCUCACUUUGCAAUCCCAGAUUCUCCUGAAUCUGAAAAACAAUCAUAAAGUUGCCCAGGCCAAACUGUUGGCAAGAAGUAAACAAAGUCCUCUCCAGAAGGCAGCAGAAACUAGCUCUGACCUGGAGAAGGUUCAAAAGGUCCCUUCUAAAAAGAGUGCCACAAAAACGUAUAAGGCACUUAGGGACUCCAGUAUAGCUAAGGAUCUUGGAGAGCCAAGAUUAAGUCUCUCCAAUGUUUCAAGUUCCUCCUCUAGUACUAAAAACCUAGCUGUUGAUAAGCAGCAUCUUGACAAGAGAGAGAAGAUUGGGAAAGUAAUUGGAAACGUCAAACACGCUUCGUGUCAGACUCUAGCAGUAAGAGAAGAGAUAGCGGAGGAGAAAGUGAUUGAAGAGGCACCCGCUGAAAAAGAGCGAGUGCUGAAGCAAAAGGGCAUUCAGUCCCUGCACACCCUUUCGGCAUUUAGAAAAGUAACUAGCUGGCUCAGCCAAAAACCUCCCAAGAAAGCAAGCCUGAAAGAUCGUUUUCGGAGGGCGAUGCGUGCAGUUGGUAUCUCAGACUGGCUCCUGAAGAAGUUUGGGAAGAGGAGCAGCAAGCCAUCUGGAUUCAGAAGAAGAAUGACGAUCAGGAUUGUUAGCACCACUGGACUAAUCAAUAAACAGGGCGGAGCCUCCCCUGGCCCAGCGGGAGAACAGAGAAAGAGGGAGUUGAGUAGCAAAAGCUCUUCUCAGCCAUUGCUAGAAUGGAAUCAUCCUCAUACAGAGGAGCUGGAAGAAGCCCAGUUGGCUUCAUGCAAUUCUCCCCGUAAUGAAGCUAACUCCUCUCUGCAAUUGCUAAAUUUGGAAGGACCUGCUAAGGAGAAGAACAGUGUCACUGAUGCCAAAUUCGCCAUUGUGUUCCCCAGGGUCCAUCACAUGGUGAAGACAAGAGGAGUUUCUUCCGGGAAUAGUGAAUCACAGCUGCAGUCAAUAGAUGUAUCUAGCAGGAAAGCAGUGAUGUCUGUGCAACCGGGCUGCAAGUUCAAACAUGACCUCUGGAAGGAGCAAACCUGUCAGAGGACCAGUCAAGGGCUUCCCCACAACGAUGAAAUUGAUCUAUCAAUGCCAGGUGAUCCGAGUCAAGCAAAAUGCCUUGCAACCCAGUACAGAGUGACUAGGCUUUUGAGCUCCUCAUCCCAAGAGAUAAAGAUGCCCGAGGGGAAAGAUAUAUCCAAAUCCCAGUUCCUCGCAAAGGGGCAAAGAGGGCAGUCACCAUACCAGGCCACUAAACCCCCCCUCUUCCCAGAGGCAGCUGGAAACUAUCGGUAUGAGCAGGGCUUCCUUCCACAGGAGGAAGGAGAGGACUCAGGGGAUCUGAUGGCCUCUUACUUUGAGGGAGAUGUUGACAAAGAGGCUGCAAAUCUUAUCCAACAUGCUGGGUCUGAAGCCCCAGCCCAGGUGCACUGGACUCAGCGGCGAACUCUGGAGUGUGAUCCUACGGCAUGGCUGAACUCUGAAAUGCUGCUCCCACGACUCACCAUUGAGAACCUCAGCAAAUGGGCCAUGUAUAAGGACCAGGAUCUAGUCAAGACCCACAGGCCGAAGACAUUGAGAGAAAGGUGGGAGGCAGAAGAUGUCACUGAGGAUAUCCUUGAGAUGGAUGUGACAUGGAAACAGGUGUACCUGGAUGAAAACCAUGGGGUGGAGCUUGAGGAGGUUGAAGAUCUGUCCAGACUGGAGGAGGUCUGUGAGAGCUCCGUCCUUCUGUGUCUGAAGAAGAGAUUCCAUCGCAAUUUCAUUUACACCUACAUUGGGCAAAUCUUGGUCUCUGUGAAUCCUUUCAAGCCCCUCAAUCUCUACUUGGAAGAGGUGGUGACCCAGUACCAGCAGGGGACGCUCUCCAAAAAUGCCCCACACGUCUUUGCCAUUGCGGAAAUGGCCUACUCUCUGUCCCAGACUUCAGAGCAAGAGCAGUGCAUCGUCAUCAGUGGGCACAGUGGAUCAGGUAAAACGGAAGCUGCCAAAGCAAUCAUGCGGUACCUGAGCACCUUGUACCAGAGACAAGACAGGCCCGGGAUCAGGCAGCCCUGUGACGUACUGCCCAUUCUGGAGAGCUUUGGGAAUGCUAAAACCAUCCUCAACGACAACUCGAGCCGCUUUGGGAAGUUUCUGCACAUCCACCUGAGACCUGGGGUCGUGAUGGGUACGUCCAUCUCCCAGUACCUUCUGGAAAAGUCCCGCGUUGUGUUUCAGGCCCAUGGUGAGAGGAGCUACCAUGUGUUUUAUGAGCUGGUGGCGGGGCUUCCUGCAGAGCAGAAAGAGAAGCUUUUCCUGCACGAGGCAGAGACUUACUUUUACCUGAAUCAGGGCAGAGCAUGCGACCUCUCAGGGAAGCAAGACGAUCGGGACUUUGUGGUCUUGGUGCAAGCUCUGCAGGUGAUUGGCCUCUCAGAUGAUCAGCUGACCUCCAUCUGGGCAGUGCUGGCUGCCAUCUUGCAGCUGGGGAACAUCUGUUUUACCUCCUGUGAGAAGGAAUCCUUUGGCCUUGCAGCCAUCCCCAGUGACACGGAAAUCCGGAUUGUGGCCAAUUUGCUGCAUGUCUCAGCAGAUCUCCUCCAAAGCGCCGUCACUCACCGCGUCACAGUGACGUCUUAUGAUCAUAUAUUCACCCCUUUGUCUGUAGAAAGUGCCAUUGAUGCCAGGGAUGCUAUUGCCAAGGCUCUGUAUUCCCUGCUCUUUGACUGGCUUCUGGUGAAGAUCAAUGAGUGGCUAGCCCCUGGGGAAAUGGACAGCUCUCUGGGCAUUGUCGACAUAUAUGGGUUUGAGGAUCUGGGGGUGAACAGCUUGGAACAAUUGUGCAUCAACUUUGCAAAUGAGCGUCUGCAACAUUUCUUCAGCCAGACAGUCAUUGCCCAGGAAGAGGAGGAAUACACCCAAGAGGAGCUAGUCUGGAUUCCCAUUUCCAAGAUGCACAAUGAUUCAUGCCUGGAUCUGAUUGCUGCAAAGCCCCAUGGCAUUUUACGCAUCCUGGAUGACCAGACUUCAUUGGCUCAGGCUACUGACCACACCUUCCUCCAGAAGUGCCAUUACCAUCAUGGAAACAGCCCUUGGUACGGCAAGCCCAAACUGCCUUCACCAGUCUUCACCGUGCAGCACUAUGCAGGUCCUGUCACCUACCAGGUUCACAAGUUUCUGCAUAAAAACCACGACCAGCUGCACCCAGAGGUCCUUGAGAUUUUCUCCCAGAGUCACCUCAAGCUGGUGUCCCACCUUUUCCAGCGGGCCAAGGGACAUCACGGACAGCAGGGGGUUUUGGCCGUGGGAGGCAAAGGGCUUAAGCAUCACCCCUCUACUCUGGUGUCCCGAUUCCAGCAGUCCCUGCAGGAUCUCACAGCCAAGCUGAGGAGAAGCCAUACUUUCUUCAUUCGCUGCAUCACGCCCAAUCCGAAAAAGCUGUCUGAUGUCUUUGAUGUGGAAUAUGUCACUUGUCAGCUGAGGCAUUCUGGGAUACUGGAGGCCAUCCACAUCAGGAAGGAGGGAUACCCCAUCCGCAUCCCAUUCCAGCACUUCUUAGUCAGGUAUGGGACCCUGACAGGCCAAGGGCAGAGCUGUUCGCAGGAGAGGGAUGGAUGCGCCGCAGUGCUCUCACAGGUGGUGGGGGACCCCUCGGACCUCUAUCAGAUUGGAGUAACAAAGGUCUUCCUGAAGGAGAAGGCCAGGCAGCUGCUGGAGAGAAGAUGGAACCAGAAGCAGAGCUGGGCUGUUGUCACCCUCCAGCGGAACCUCCGAGGCCUCCUCAGCCGCAGGCAAUUCCAGGUCUUCCGGCAGAAGGUCAUGGUCAUCCAGGCUCAUUUCCGGGGGCACCAGGCAAGGAAGCGCUGCAGGAGGCUGAAGAUGAUGCUGGUGCAGUUUGGGACGGUAGUGUUAAUCUCCAGGCCCUUGGUGCAGACACGGAAGCGCUGCCAGCAGAGGCGUGUGGACAGCAGGCAGAGAGAGGAGUCGCUGGCCAAAGGUGGCCAGGAGAGUGGUAGCUGCCCAGGAAUGGACGUGGGGCUGCUGGAGAUCCCCGCAGAGCUUGCGGCGCUCCUGCACUCUGCCAAAGGUCAGCACCAUGCCCAGGCCAAUCAGAUCGUGGAGGUUUCACCUCCAGAGGUCAAGACCAAGUGCUACCUCUCCCUCCCACCCAACAUCAAUAACUCUCCCUUCUCCGCCUUCAUGAAGUCUCACUUCCAGGAGCCCAACUUCCCUGCCCUUGGACAGCCCCUGCAGCAGCCCUUAACCCGCUUGGAGGGCGAGGACACGCAGCGCGCUCUGGAGAUCAACAAAUUGAUCCUUCGGUUCAUCGGGGACAGGAACCUCCAGAGCUGGCAGGAAGUGCUCCUGGGUAACUACAUCACCAGCCGAGGACUGGGCAACCCGGCCCUGCGCAAUGAGAUUCUGAGUCAGGUGGUCAGCCAGGUGUGGAAGAACCCAGACACAGAGCAGAGCCAGCAAGGCUAUACUCUGAUGGCUGCACUCCUGAGUGCAUUUACCCCUUCGCCAGCACUGGAGAAGCCCUUGCUGAAGUUCGUGUCAGACCACGGCCUGGAAGGCUACAACGCCGUUUGCCAGCGCAAGAUCCUCAUGGCAAUGCAGCAGACAGAUACGGACCCUGAGGUCUCCCGUGCCCAUCCUCCCACCCUGUUGGAGUGGACCGCUAACCAGAGGAGAGGGAAGAUGGUGCUGGAUGUCUUCACCUAUAACGAGGAGAUGUACUCUGCUGAAGUAGAGUCCUGGACAACUGGGGAGCAGUAUGCAGGCUGGAUCCUGAGUUCAAGGGGUUUGGAUAAGGACCCUCGAGGGUGGUCCGUCUCCAUGCUCAGAGGUGAGGUGUGGUGGGACCUGCCUGGCUGUGACUUCAUGCUGGAUCUCAUUGGAGAGAUGGAGGAGGCCGGCCACUCUUCCCUGUCCUCGACUGACUAUCCCAUCACACCCGAGUGGGAGGGGAGCCUGUCCCGGAGCGCCUCUAUGGACAUGAUGGACUGGGACAUCCCUCCUGCACCAGGCAUUCAGGCUCCAUCUUUCCCUCCUCCCUUUCCGCCGCCAUCCUUGGACACUGAGAACGUUUACACAGAGCUGGGAGUCCAAGGUGUCCCAAGGACCCCCAAAGGCCUAGAGCACUAUGUGGAUGACCUCUUCGACCCAGUGCUCCAUCAAGGGUCCAGAGUGCCAGAUAUGGAAAAUGGAGGGAGCCUGGCUGGACGCAUGAAAGGAGGUGGAAAGAUUGGACCCACUCAGCAAGGAGCCUUUCCUUCUGCAGGCUAUCCUGGAAUGAUGCAAGUACCAACUUACCAACCCAUGCCAGUGAUGGGUGGAAUGAUGCCAGCACCCAUGCCAAUGAUGCCAGCACCCAUGCCAAUGAUGCCAGCACCCAUGCCAGCCAUGGUUGCGCCCCAGCCCAUGGUCCCAGCUGUGGAUCCCAAUCAACUCGCAGCACAACAGCAAGCCUUUAUCAACCAGCAGGCCCUGCUCAUGGCUCAGCAGAUGACCCUUCAGGCCAUGACAAUUUCCCAGCAGCAGCAGCGACAGAGGUCUCCUGAGCCCUCAAGGCCAAGACGAGCCUUGACUCCACAACCAGCUCCAGCUCCAGCUCCAGCUCCGGCCCCGGCCCCGGCCCCGGCCCCAGCCCCGGCCCCAGCUCCCAAACCCAAGAGAACCAAUAACCACAAGAAUGCUGCACCAGCAGCUAAGACACCAGAGCCCCUGGCUGAUGCAGCAGAACCGAUCCACGUCUACCCGGAAGAGCAGCUGACAGAUAGUGACAAGGACUCAGACUUCCAAGACACCUUCCAGCAGAAGCGGGAGUACUUCCAGAAAAUGGGACAGCAAAAAAUCCAGUUGAAGAAAGUCAGGCCCCCUUCCAAGAGCUGGACCCCUCCAGGAAAUCCACAGCAGGAGGAAGAGCGGUCCAGCCCAGAACCAGAGACAGCCCCAGCACCCCCUUCGCCACGUCCCGCGCCAAAGCAGAAAGUGCAAGAGAAGAAAGCAAAGAACGAGCCGUGCCCUGUGGUGGCUGCAGAGUCGGCACCAAAGAGAGAGCCCAGCCGGGAGAUCCGCAACAUUAUUAAGAUGUACCAGAGCCGACCAGCCCCGGAGCCACAGCCCAUCAUGCCCGUCAGGAGGCCGUCCAAGUCCUUCCUGAAGAAGAGUGACCCCAAGAACGAAGCUCUGGCCAAGCUGGGGAUGGCGAGCCCUCAGCCUCCAAAAUCGCCCUCCUCUCUGAAGAAGAGCCCCAGAGGAGCUCCGCCCCCUCCGCCCACCAAGAAGGGCGAGACCGCCACAUCCAUCAGGGAAAAGCAGCAGCCUCUCUUGAAUCUCUUUCGCCAGCAGCCGGCCGCUCCCGCUGCUUCCUUCAUCCCUCCGCCUCCCCCACUCCUGCCCCCACCCCUUCUGCCUGCUGAGCAAGCCACGGAGCAAUCUGAGCCGAAAGGCUCUGGUUGGACAAUGGCAGAAGAAGAUGCGGGCAUCAAGACACAGCUCUACAAGCUCACUGCCAGUGUCAGUUUCUCAUAUGCCACUACACCCUGGAAAAUCUUCCUCCGCAAAGAGGUGUUUUACCCCAAAGAAAACUUCAGUCACCCGUAUUGCUUGAACCUUCUAUGUAAGCAGAUCAUGCAAGAUACUUACUCGGAGUCCUGCAUCCGGAUCUCCAAGGAGGAAAGGCGCAAGAUGAAAGACUUGUUGGCAGAAUUCCAGGUCGGCACGGACACCUCCUCCAUUCUAGAGGAUGGGAUAAAGAAGAGGAUUGUGGUGGCUGCUCGGGAUAACUGGGCCAACUAUUUCUCCCGGCUCUUCUCAGUUAAGGGGGAAAGAGGAAGCGACGUCCAGCUCCUUGGUGUUUCUCACCGGGGACUCCGGCUGCUGAAGAUGGCAAAAGCAGCCAGCUUCAGCCCUGAAUACCUGAAAAUCCUUUGCAGCUACAGUUUUGCAGACGUGCUGUCGGUGGAGCUGAGGGGCAGCAGCAGCCUGGAGUUCUCCCUGAAGAAUGAGCAGCUGAUCCUGCACUCGGCGAAGGCUCGGCAGGUCAAGGCCAUGGUGGAGCUUUUCCUCCAGGAGCUGAAGCAGGACUCCAACUACGUCAUUGCUCUGCGCAGCUAUGUCACAGAUGACAAGAGCCUCUUGAGUUUCAAGAAGGGUGACCUCAUCCAGUUACUGCCCAUGCAGGGGCUGGAGCCAGCGACCUGUCCCUCUCUUCACCCACAUCUGGCAGACUGGCAGUUCGGCUCCAUUGGUGGCCGCUCCGGCCUCUUUCCCUGCAGCAUGGUGCAGCUGGCGGCAGCCCCCGAUUACCUCAGCACCCACAUGGACAGACAGGAGAGGCUCCAGAAGAGCCUGAAAAGAGACCAGCUGGAGACUAGUAUUAGCAGGGAGAGCUCUGUCCCCAGCCUGGCAUCGGAAAUCACCAGCUCUGCCUUCUCCCCAGACGCCCAUCACUACACCAUGGUGGAGUUUGCCAUGGCACACUUCCGGGAGGCCCAGUCCACGCUGGGAUGGAAGGGGAUGAGUGCAGAGAGGAGGAGCCCAGCUACCCUGGUCGAGCACACCAAGGUCCCGAUCCAGGAGUCCCUGCUUCAGUACUCCGACAGCGAGAUGAACGAGCUGGCGACAAAGAGCUUUAUGACUUUGAUGAGGUUCAUGGGAGACCAGCCCACCCUCAAGAACCAGGCCGAGAUCAAUUACGUCUAUGAGAUUCUUCAGCUCUGCAAGGAGAAGAAGAACCUGCAUGAUGAGGUUUACUGCCAGGUCAUCAAGCAGAUCACGCAGAAUCCCAAGCCGGAAAGCUGUAUCCGUGGCUGGCAGCUCCUGAGCCUGCUCACCGGCUUCUUCCUUCCCUCUAACACCUUGAUGCCAUACGCCACCAAAUUCCUGCAGCAAGCCAGCGCCGAUCCAGCCAGCACUCACCAAGAUCUAGCCAGGACCUGCUAUGGCAACCUGCGGCAGAUGAUCAUGUACGGCGGCCGCCGGCACCUGCCCUUCCGCGUGGAGAUGGAAGCACUUCUGAAGGGGCGUGGCUCCCGCCGGAUGGUGAUCUCCCUGUCAGGGGCCCUGGAAUACAACACCAGAAUCAGGACGUUCACAGUGGCUGGGGAAGUGGUGCGGGAGAUCUGCGAGCAGAUGGGGAUCAGCGAGCAGGAGGAGAUCCAGGAGUUCACUCUCUUUGCCAGCAAGAACGGUGGGAAGGUGGUGAGGCCGGUGCGCCAGGAUGAAUACAUCCAUGACUACCUGCUGGAGGACAGGUCGGUGAUCCUGGAUUUACGCCGGCUCUCCUGGAAGACACCCCUGCACUUCGAGAACGAGAUGUAUAUCAGCAUUCACUACAGCCAGGUGCAGCACGAUUACCUGGAAGGGAAGCUGUUGCUGAACUACAACAGUGAACUGGAGAACCAGGUGGGCACCAUGGCCCUUUUCCAGCACUGGGCCAGAGGACUGGGCUCCCCACCAUCCAAUCAGGAGUUGAUGGACUAUGCCCCAAAGCCCGUGCUCCAGCUCAUCAACCCACAGGUUCUCCAAAGCCAAGUCAACCGGCUGCUGGAAACCAUGAACCCACUCGGAGAGCAGGAGGCAAAAAUCCAGUUCAUAGAGCAUGUGAUUCAGCUGCCCCUCUUCGGCUACAACUUGUACCCCAUGGAGCGCUGCAGCGAGCCCAGGAUUCCUCUACCCUGCAUCCUGGCAGUGAAUAGGGACCAGAUUGUUGUCAUGGCCAGCAGGUCCCAGGAGUGCUGCUGCUGCAUCCCGCUGAAGGAGGUGCAGAGGAUGCGAACCCUGCGGCCUUUGGACGACUCCGGGGUGCCGGGCCUGGAAGUGAACUAUGGCUCUGUGAAUAAUCCUCAGACCAUGUGGUUUGAACUGCAACAGGAAAAGAGAGAGAGAGAGAGAGAGAGAGGGGUCAAACAUUUCCAUCAUGAGCAACAUAUAUGAAGGACUACAGAGAACACGAGAGACCCUAUACGCAGCUCCAACCACCUGUUCCAGGAAGGAUGAUGCCAAAAUUAUAAAGGUGUGGGAAAGGCAGCAAAAAGGACAGAAGAGACUGGGGAGCAGGGAGAUCGCAAAGGCUGCUGAAACAACGGAAGAGCCAGAGACGUUGUGGCCGUGGAUUCGUCAACACCUUACUACCAAGUUUAAGCCUAGGGGUUUUGAUUUACCAAGCAGAAAACACAGCCAAGAGCUGGUGAAGAAACUAAAGCAGCAGGCUCCAAACAAGCUCAGUGCGAGCGUGCGUGCUGAAGUCAGGAGGAACACAGUACUACCCAG